Long non-coding RNA from Helianthus annuus (common sunflower), 2572 nucleotides. RefSeq lists it as uncharacterized. Lineage: Eukaryota; Viridiplantae; Streptophyta; Magnoliopsida; Asterales; Asteraceae. The record is from RefSeq and is a predicted model, not a curated record. The transcript has 2 exons.
UUUAGAACAUUAAUCACAUACAACAUAUCAUCCCCCUUAUCAAAUCUGUCGGCACUUGUAUCGCAAAACACUUGUAUAUCCGGUGUAGUAACCAAAACCUCCUUGUUAGCCGGCAUACUAGGGUUUGAUCGAGACGAAAAUAUCCGUCGUGAACCUCUACGAUGGUGUAAUUGAUGCGGAUUCCGAGACUAGAUCUGAAGGUGGAGGCGGCGUACUAGGGCUUCAUCGCCGGUAGUGGUAAAGGCGGUGGUAGUUGUAGAGAGUAGAAGUUUCGGCUAGAACAGAUCUGAUGGUAGUUUGACAGAGGUGGUGGUGGUUCUGGCGGAUGUGGAUGGAGAUGGGGGCAGUGUGGCGAUCUGUAUGGAGGGAGCGUGGUGGACAGGGGCGGACCUAGUGUAGUCUGAGGCGUAGCCCGGGCUACGGCUCAACUUUUAUCCGUUAGUGUAAAAAAAUUUUUUUUUUCGAUUUUUAUACUAAGGACACCCCUCAACAACAAUUAGGACACCCCUCAAAAAAAAAUUUACAAACUGAAAUUAAGCCCAAAAAAUACUGAUUAUAUUAGCCCAAAUAACCAAAUGAUAGCCCAAUACUAGUUAGCCCAAAAAAAAAUAAUAACCCAACAGUGCAUAUGCAUUGGGCGGCAGAUUCAUUGCAGGGAUAAUCAAAGGUCACGAAGACUGAAGACACGAAGUCACGAACAGAAUUCGCAGGUCCUUGAGUCCUUCGUUGAUUUGCUGCAUCUCGCACAUCGUAGGAGGAUUACAAUCGAAGUCACAAAACUCACGAACUCACAAAGAUUCGCAGAAGGAUUAUUGGAUUAACUCACAGAUUCCGGCAUUCCGCAUUCGGCAAUCGGCUCCGCUGUCCGCCUCCUCUCAUCGGCCAUCGCAGAUUUGCAGGAGUGAUGACGAAACCAAAAUUCAAAAAAGAAGCUUUAAUUGGGAACUUUUUCUAAACCGAGUGGGCUGAACGCUGAAGUCGCUGAACAACAAGGAUACCAAGUCGCUGAACAUGGGCUGAAGGUGUCGCUGAUGAUCAUUGAUCGCUGCUGAUUGCUGAAACAGUUCAGAACAAUAAUCAUCGAACAGGCUGAUUGGCUGAAGUCGCUACUGUUGUGCUGAUUGUGAGUUGUGAGUAUUCUUUAUUUUUUUUCUUCUUGAGUUCUUGAAUUGUUUAAUUUCGAUCUAAAAAUUAAAAAUAAACCAAGCCCAAUCUAAAAUCUAAAAUCUAAAAACUUAUUGCCAAUAUUAAUUCAUAGAGCCUAGCCCAAAUGUGAUAUGCUCAAUAUUGAUUCGUUAACCUAAAUACUAAUAACUUAAAAAAGAAACUAGUUUAUAAAAUUUAAUUCGACAAGGCCUAAGGGCCUUUUUUUGGCUCACCCAGGGCACUUGAAUUUUCAGGAUCGGCCCUGCCCCGUAGUAUAGGUAAAAAAAAUUAUGUUCUAUAAAUAUAUCGUAAAAAAAUUUGGGAUACCCCUGAAUAUUUCUUCUAGUUCCGCCACUGGUGGUGGAUCUUGGAUGGGGGUGGUGGUGUGUGGCAGAUUUAGAUGGGUUCUACUUUUGAACGGGGAUGGGUUAUUUUCUAUGCAGACAAUCUAUAUAGACAAUUUAUAUAUUGAGAGAGAGAGAUCUGUGCUUUCAUUAAAGACCAAAAAUAUUUAUUGCACAAAUAUAAUAAAAAGACGAAUCUGCCCUUAUGUGCAAUGCACAUAACUGAAUUUAAUUGUAAAUUUUAACUAGGUUAGUGCUAAAGGACGGAAGGUAUAAUUAGUUUUCCAAAUAAAGGACUGUGACUGUAAUUAUUGAAGUUAAAGGUUAUCCACUGCAAUCUGAUACAGACAUAAAGGACGAAAAGUGUAAUUUAUCCUUUUUUUUUGUCGCUGCAACUACAUCGGAAAAAAAUUCCGGUGAUUACUCUUCAGUUUCUUUUAAUUUUUUUCAUUAUUAUUCAUGCGAAAGUUUAAGGGGUGCGACUACAAAAUUUUAUGAGGUGCGUUUUAGAUUUUAACUUGAAUAUAGCACUGAAAAUUUUUAUUUCAAAGGGGAAGCCCGCACCCCCACCGGCAACCAUAAGUCCGCCCCUGUGUGUAGAUCAUUAAAGUUGUCUACACGAUUUUACUCAUAAACAAGAAUUAAUUGCAUCAUCUCUCUACAAUACGCAUUAUUUUCAUUAACAACAUAUUUUCCUCAACUAGUAUUUUUAUACAUUCUAGUCAUAUAUGUAACCAAUUUAAUUUAAAUUUAUUCUAGUCAUAUAUGUAACCAAUUUAAUUUAAAUUUAAGGUUUGCACUUUCGUUGGCAUUUUACGAACUUGCUUACAAUGUACUCUAAAAUUACAACUCCUGCGAAGUUAAUGAAGAAAUAAACUUCUUUACAUUUUAAUAUUAUGAACCCAUUUAUUAACUUUUGUACAAAACAAUUAUGUAAAGCAAUCCGUAACCAAGUCUGGCCAACCCAGCGUGAGCCCGGUUAAGACAACGUAAGUCUGGGCAGACUUGGCUAGGGCCGCCGAUUAGACGGUGUGACAUUGGGUCACUCAAAAAGAAAGUCACCGUUCAAAAAAAAAAAAAAA